GUUUGAUCAUGGCUCAGAACGAACGUUGGCGGCGUGGAUUAGGCAUGCAAGUCGAACGUGAAAGUCCCCUUCGGGGGAUGAGUAAAGUGGCGAACGGGUGAGUAACGCGUGGGAAACGUGCCUUAGAGCGUGGAAUAACACUCCUAACGGGGUGCUAAUACCGCACGAAAUCCUCGGACGGCAUCAUCUGAGGAUCAAAGAUGGGGACCGCAAGGCCUGUCACUCUGGGAUCGCCCCGCGUCCGAUUAGCUAGUUGGUGGGGUGAUGGCCCACCAAGGCGACGAUCGGUAGCUGGUCUGAGAAGAUGGUCAGCCACACUGGGACUGAGAUACGGCCCAGACUCCUACGGGAGGCAGCAGUCGAGAGGCUUCGGCAAUGGGGGAAACCCUGACCGAGCGACGCCGCGUGAGCGAUGAAGCCCUUCGGGGUGUAAAGCUCUUUUGUUGGGGAAGAAAUGCGGGUGGCCUAAUACGUCAUGCGUUUGACGGUACCCGACGAAUAAGCUCCGGCUAACUCCGUGCCAGCAGCCGCGGUAAUACGGGGGGAGCAAACGUUGUUCGGAAUCACUGGGCGUAAAGGGCGCGUAGGCGGCCCUGUCAGUGGUGUGUGAAAUCCGAUGGCUCAACCAUCGAACUGCGCUCCAUACUGCAGGGCUUGAGGACAGCAGAGGAAAGUGGAAUUCCCGGUGUAGCGGUGAAAUGCGUAGAUAUCGGGAGGAACACCGUUGGCGAAGGCGACUUUCUGGGCUGUUUCUGACGCUGAGGCGCGAAAGCCGGGGGAGCAAACAGGAUUAGAUACCCUGGUAGUCCCGGCCGUAAACGGUGGGCACUAGGUGUUGGAGGCAUCGACCCCUCCAGUGCCGCAGCUAACGCAUUAAGUG
RNAcentral lists this ribosomal RNA (880 nucleotides) under uncultured bacterium. Its description in RNAcentral is "bacterial SSU rRNA". It matches the Rfam family "Bacterial small subunit ribosomal RNA", at positions 11 to 866 of the family's 1533-position model. The record is from RNAcentral.